Long non-coding RNA from Ipomoea triloba (trilobed morning glory), 152 nucleotides. RefSeq lists it as uncharacterized. Lineage: Eukaryota; Viridiplantae; Streptophyta; Magnoliopsida; Solanales; Convolvulaceae. The record is from RefSeq and is a predicted model, not a curated record. The transcript has 2 exons.
GAAGAAUACUAGCUGAAGAAAGGACCAAAAAAGAAGAAGAAAUAGAGAGCACCCUGCAGAUCGAGUCUACGAUUUUCAGAGUUUGCAUCAUAUAUCAAACAAACAAAUGGAUUUCACACUAGUAUCAAACAAACCAACUCUGGUUGUACAAA